This 71-nucleotide transfer RNA is filed under the name Camelus bactrianus (Bactrian camel). It matches the Rfam family "tRNA". From Rfam's summary of the family: Transfer RNA (tRNA) molecules are approximately 80 nucleotides in length. Their secondary structure includes four short double-helical elements and three loops (D, anti-codon, and T loops). Lineage: Eukaryota; Metazoa; Chordata; Mammalia; Artiodactyla; Camelidae. RNAcentral also lists the same sequence under 2 other names. The record is from Rfam by way of RNAcentral.
GAGGUUGUAGCUCAGUGGUAGAGCGCAUGCUUAGCAUGCAUGAGGUCCUAGGUUCAAUCCUCAGCACCUCU